UUGGUUUUUGUCCAGGCAUUCAUAGCACAAUGGAACCACUCUGAUCCCAUUCCGAAUUCAGAUGUGAAAUAUUGUAGCGGUGAAAAUACUGCAAGAAAGCUCUUGUGGGAAAAUAACACAAUGCCUAGAC
This 130-nucleotide ribosomal RNA is filed under the name Cyanidium caldarium. Lineage: Eukaryota; Rhodophyta; Bangiophyceae; Cyanidiales; Cyanidiaceae. The record is from RNAcentral.